This 253-nucleotide ribosomal RNA is filed under the name uncultured bacterium. RNAcentral's name for it is "partial 16S ribosomal RNA". It matches the Rfam family "Bacterial small subunit ribosomal RNA", at positions 524 to 776 of the family's 1533-position model. The record is from RNAcentral.
GACAGAGGUGCCGAGCGUUAGGCGGAAUCACUGGGCUUAAAGCGUGUGUAGGCGGAUCUGUAAGUACCUUGUGAAAUCCCACGGCUCAACCGUGGAACUGCUUGGUAUACUGCGGGUCUUGAGCCACCUAGGGGCAAGUGGAACAAACGGUGGAGCGGUGAAAUGCGUAGAUAUCAGGAGGAACACCUGUGGUGUAGACAGCUUACUGGACCACUUCUGACGCUGAGACACGAAGGCGUGGGUAGCAAACAGG